This 427-nucleotide ribosomal RNA is filed under the name uncultured bacterium. Its description in RNAcentral is "bacterial SSU rRNA". It matches the Rfam family "Bacterial small subunit ribosomal RNA", at positions 355 to 774 of the family's 1533-position model. The record is from RNAcentral.
UGGGGAAUUUUGGACAAUGGGCGCAAGCCUGAUCCAGCAAUGCCGCGUGUGUGAAGAAGGCCUUCGGGUUGUAAAACACUUUUGUCCGGAAAGAAAUCCGUCUGGCUAAUACCCGGACGGGAUGACGGUACCGGAUGAAUAAGCACCGGCUAACUCCGUGCCAGCAGCCGCGGUAAUACGGAGGGUGCAAGCGUUAUCCGGAUUCACUGGGUUUAAAGGGUGCGUAGGUGGGCAGAUAAGUCAGUGGUGAAAUCUUCCGGCUUAACCGGGAAACUGCCGUUGAUACUAUUUGUCUUGAAUAUUGCGGAGGUAAGCGGAAUAUGUCAUGUAGCGGUGAAACGCUUAGAUAUGACAUAGAACACCAAUUGCGAAGGCAGCUUACUACACAAUCAUUGACACUGAGGCACGAAAGCGUGGGUAGCGAACA